GCCGCGUGCAGGAUGACGGCUCUAUGAGUUGUAAACUGCUUUUGUACGAGGGUAAAUCGGGUUACGCGUAACCUUUUGAAAGUAUCGUACGAAUAAGGAUCGGCUAACUCCGUGCCAGCAGCCGCGGUAAUACGGAGGAUCCGAGCGUUAUCCGGAUUUAUUGGGUUUAAAGGGUGCGCAGGCGGUUUGGUAAGUUAGAGGUGAAAUUUCGAUGCUCAACAUCGAAACUGCCUCUGAUACUGCCGAACUGGAGACCAGUUGCGGAAGGCGGAAUGUGUGGUGUAGCGGUGAAAUGCUUAGAUAUCACACAGAACCCCGAUUGCGAAGGCAGCUUUCCAAGCUGGAUCUGACGUUGAGGCACGAAAGCGUGGGUAGCGAACAGGAUUAGAUACCCUGGUAGUCCACGCUGUAAACGAUGAUUACUCGUUGUCGGCGAUAUACAGUCGGUGACUAAGCGAAAGCGAUAAGUAAUCCACCUGGGGAGUACGUUCGCAAGAAUGAAACUCAAAGGAAUUGACGGGGGCCCGCACAAGCGGAGGAACAUGUGGUUUAAUUCGAUGAUACGCGAGGAACCUUACCCGGGCUUGAAAGUUAAUGACGAUACUGGAAACAGGAUUUCCCUUCGGGGCAUGAAACUAGGUGCUGCAUGGUUGUCGUCAGCUCGUGCCGUGAGGUGUCGGGUUAAGUCCCAUAACGAGCGCAACCCCUAUGGUUAGUUACCAUCAGGUUAAGUUGGGGACUCUAGACAGACUGCCGGUGUAAGCCGCGAGGAAGGUGGGGAUGACGUCAAAUCAGCACGGCCCUUACGUCCGGGGCGACACACGUGUUACAAUGGUCGGUACAGAGGGCAGCUACCCAGUGAUGGGAUGCGAAUCUCGAAAGCCGAUCUCAGUUCGGAUCGCAGGCUGAAACCCGCCUGCGUGAAGUUGGAUUCGCUAGUAAUCGCGCAUCA
RNAcentral lists this ribosomal RNA (952 nucleotides) under uncultured Bacteroidales bacterium. RNAcentral's name for it is "bacterial SSU rRNA". It matches the Rfam family "Bacterial small subunit ribosomal RNA", at positions 396 to 1351 of the family's 1533-position model. The record is from RNAcentral. Lineage: Bacteria; Pseudomonadati; Bacteroidota; Bacteroidia; Bacteroidales.